Molecule: long non-coding RNA, 712 nt
Filed under: Cucumis sativus (cucumber)
Lineage: Eukaryota; Viridiplantae; Streptophyta; Magnoliopsida; Cucurbitales; Cucurbitaceae
Description: long non-coding RNA (CSAT_LNC000842)
Source: RNAcentral
CCAAGGAUAAUCAAUGUAAUUAUGUUAGAAAAUACACAUGGAUUACUAAUCGUGAAGACCAAGGAUAAUCAAUGUAAUUAUGUUAGAAAAUACACAUGGAUCUACUAAGAGAUAUCAUUUUCACUCUUAAUCAUUUCAUUUUUUCCAAGUCCUCUACAACUUACUUGAAGGAGUGACCAAAUUCCAAAUAGAUUUAUCUUGAAAUUAAAUUCUCUGAAACUGCAACUGAAAAAUAACCUAUUUUUAGUCAUAUUUGGCUCAAUUGAUCUAUCUUCAUGAAAGUUGUAGACAAUCCAAUAAGCUUUCCAACUAUAUCAAAUGGUGCUUCUAAUUUCUCAUCUACACUUCGGGCUACUAAAAAAACUAGAGAUGUCUCAUAUUCAUGCACAGAUACAGUAAAUUGUCUUCUCCAUCAAUUUUCCUUCAACUUAACAUCAAAUUUAGUUCAAGCAUGCUUCAUAAACUUUGUUAGAAUUCGAGUUAGCUUUCAAACAUGAUAGGCCUCAACUUGUGAAACUAAUUGCAGUCAACAAAAACAUCAGAAGUGUGCUAUGUGAACCAAGAACUGUGAUGACUGAACUCUUCUCUUGAAAUUCCCUGCCUUUUCCACCUCUAAUCUCUCUAAAACCUUCUUCCUCUUCUUCACUCUGUUUGGCUCUGAAAUUUGGAUGGAAAAACGAUGGGUAUGAAGUUAGCAGUGGAUGAGUUUCUU